This 798-nucleotide long non-coding RNA is filed under the name Marmota monax (woodchuck). Lineage: Eukaryota; Metazoa; Chordata; Mammalia; Rodentia; Sciuridae. The record is from RNAcentral.
GUCGAAUGCUAUGCUGCCCCCUUGCAUGAGACUCUUUCUGGCAGUGCUAGCAGUGAUCAGGCUGCAACAGCAGCUGGAGGAGUCUGAGAGCAGUGACCCUCAGGGUGCCAUGGCCAUCUGUGAGCAGCUGGGGGACCUGUUCUCUAAGGCGGCUGACUUCCCCAAGGCUAUUGAGGCUUAUCAGAACCAGGUGUGUGGCCCCUGUGGGGUGGGAGAAAAGAGCCAGCAAGGUACAGAGUGGACCUGGGGCUUACUGUGCCUCUCUCCAGCUGCACUUUGCUGAGCGACUGAAUAGACCAGACCUCGAGCUGGCCACCAUCCACGUGUCCCUGGCCGCCACACGGGCAGACAUGAAGGACUAUCGCCAGGCAGUAUACCACUAUGAAGAAGAACUCAGGCUGCGCAAUGGCAAUGCUCUGGAGGUGAUGUGCCCUGUUCCCUCCUCAGUGUAGGUUUGUCCUCAGGACUCUGCCUUAGGACCACCAUUCUCUAGUGCGCAUAGAUGGGUGCCUCUCUGGACAGGACUUCCUUCUGAGAAUCGUUGAGCUCCAUUUUUUGGAGAUGGGGUAGAACCCAGGCAGAUAUUCCUGUUGUGUGUAGGCACCUGGGGAAGCCAGCCUAUGGAUGUCGUGGGCAGCAGCCAUCAGCUCAUUCUUCCUCCACUCCAGGAGGCCAAUACCUGGUUCAACAUUGCACUCUCCCGCGAGGAGGCUGGUGAUGCAUAUGAGCUUCUGGCUCCAUGCUUCCAGAAGGCUCUUAACUGUGCCCAGCAGGCCCAGCGGCCCCAGUUGCAGGUAC